RNAcentral lists this ribosomal RNA (251 nucleotides) under uncultured bacterium. Its description in RNAcentral is "partial 16S ribosomal RNA". It matches the Rfam family "Bacterial small subunit ribosomal RNA", at positions 525 to 775 of the family's 1533-position model. The record is from RNAcentral.
ACGGAGGAUCCGAGCGUUAUCCGGAUUUAUUGGGUUUAAAGGGAGCGUAGGUGGAUUGUUAAGUCAGUUGUGAAAGUUUGCGGCUCAACCGUAAAAUUGCAGUUGAUACUGGCAGUCUUGAGUACAGUAGAGGUGGGCGGAAUUCGUGGUGUAGCGGUGAAAUGCUUAGAUAUCACGAAGAACUCCGAUUGCGAAGGCAGCUCACUGGACUGCAACUGACACUGAUGCUCGAAAGUGUGGGUAUCAAACAG